UUUUGCAUCUUUGAAUCUGAUUCUAUGAUCACAGAACNUUGAAGACCAUGGAGCACAUUGCCAGUCUUGGCUGGACUGUCCUACCACAUACACAUAACAGUUCGGGUUUGGGCCUUCUGACUUCCAUCUGUUCAGGCUGAAGAAUGCAAGACUGCAUGAGAAACAUUUUCCUAGCAACGAUGCCGUCAUAGUAGCCAUUAAACAGUGGGUCACCUCCACUGGUGCAGAUUUUUACAAGCAUAGCAUGCAAGGUCUAGGCCAACAGUUACGGGGCAGUUUUCUGCCCCAUAAGAGUCUCAAUGACUCCAAAGCCCCUUGGAAUGCAUGCCCAGUUGGUAAAUUAUCUUGUCUGUAAGAUGUGUAUCAUAUCUAAUCCAGUACUUCUGGCUUAAUACGUCCUAGCAAGAGGAUGACCUCUUUAGGACAUUCAUUCUUUGUCUUCUCAAUUGAGAUCAACACACCCAUAUUUAGAGGUGAACACUAAUCCAUUAAUUAUUUUAAAUCACAUUAAACUACAGUCAGACCAAUGAUUAUUUACCCCAGCAUUCUAUCUUUGAUGACAAGAGGAAGCUCAGGCAAACCUGGCCACCUCUUGUUGGCUUUUCCCUCUAGCUUCCUCGGCAUCCAGAACUGUAGGAGGGAUGUUGGUGGGCAUAUCCUUGUCAAGACCAGUUAGCAUCUGUCACAGUUUUGUGAUUUUGGUUUUCAGUANAAUUAAACUUAAGCAUUUUACAAAGAACAGAUCACCUUAAUGAUGCUACUUAGGAGACCUCACUGGCUGAACCUUGUGGCAACACGUUCCAUCAUGACCCAAGAAACCUCUGCCCCAAAGCAAGAUAAAGUAGACCCAGGUGUUUGCCAACAGCUAACAGAGAUUUGCAAAAAAGGAAUAGAAAAAAAAGACGAGCUUAAUGCCAUGGAGUUUUACAUCUCCUUGUCAAUUUGAAGCCUCAUGUGAGGGAAGUNUUCAUCAGGUGGAAAACGGUAGGUCAAGAUCAGUUUUGCAGAUGGUGCUCACGGUGUUCGCAAAGCACAGAUAACACCUCGACAAGACAUCAGAGGACAAACUCCAGAGAUGGCCUGCAGCAACCAUCAGUAAGGAGGGAGCUGUAGCAAGCCUCCAGGUGCCACUGUCACUGUGCGUGUCCCCAUGUAGCUGUAGCUACACAGAAGACAGUGCCUGGGCAUCUCAAAGUCAUCACCAGGGGAAAGAAAGUGGCACUACAGCACUGCCGUAGGAUGAACAGUCAACAUGAGCAUUCAGUCCUGGCCUAGAGAUCCCUCCUCCCACAUCCCAUGUGAGUGGUCUCUCUCUGCCCCAUAGCCCUACCUCACGCUCAGGGUGGGGGGGCAAUUUUCAAGUCUGUAGGCUGCUUCCCCCGAUGGGUCUCAGUGCAUGGGUGAGGGAACUGGUGAAGCCACCACAGGGCUGGAAGCAAGAAAUGGGAGAAGCAUGACAUUUCUGCAGACCGCUGACUUCCUCAGUGGGUUUUAGACCCACUGUAGAAAAGAGAAGACAAAAGAGAGAUGCUUGCCCUGUAGAGAUAGCUGAGCCACGACACCUUUCAGAAGGACUAUUCACUGCACUUGAAACAGAAGGAACUUAGAUCACUGAAGUUUGAUAAAACUGAACCAACCCUUAAUUUGAAGCAGUAUUUUGAAGCAGUAAAGUCCUGUAAGCUAUUCCCUACUCCCUACUCCGUUAAAAUAGUAGGCUAAGCACAAAAGCAGACAAGUCUCUCUGCACUUGAAGGUCCUUGUCCAGAUGCCUCCUCUCAGAUGCCCUCAGUUGACACACAGUGCUGUUGUGAACCACAUGCUUGCAAGCUGUAAUCACCAGAAGUGGACAGGUCUACCAAAAAACAUUGUCAUUUCUUUUUAAUGUUCUCAGCUAUUUCAGGUCUAAUCCAAAUGGGAUAUCAGCACGUGAUAGGAGAGGGACAAUUACUGAGCUAAACAUGUACCCUUUUCUGUUGCACACCAACUUUUCCAUAAAGUUCCUAGUAGCUUCCACAACAAUUCCAGCCACUGAGAGUUAAAACAGGGGCUUUCUCACUGGAAAAUAAAU
Long non-coding RNA from Pavo cristatus (Indian peafowl), 2068 nucleotides. The record is from Ensembl. Lineage: Eukaryota; Metazoa; Chordata; Aves; Galliformes; Phasianidae.